RNAcentral lists this ribosomal RNA (497 nucleotides) under uncultured bacterium. RNAcentral's name for it is "partial 16S ribosomal RNA". It matches the Rfam family "Bacterial small subunit ribosomal RNA", at positions 28 to 507 of the family's 1533-position model. The record is from RNAcentral.
GAUGAACGCUGGCGGCGUGCCUAAUACAUGCAAGUCGAGCGAACGGACGAGAAGCUUGCUUCUCUGAUGUUAGCGGCGGACGGGUGAGUAACACGUGGAUAACCUACCUAUAAGACUGGGAUAACUUCGGGAAACCGGAGCUAAUACCGGAUGAUAUUUUGAACCGCAUGGUUCAAAAGUGAAAGACGGUCUUGCAGUCACUUAUAGAUGGAUCCGCGCUGCAUUAGCUAGUUGGUAAGGUAACGGCUUACCAAGGCAACGAUGCAUAGCCGACCUGAGAGGGUGAUCGGCCACACUGGAACUGAGACACGGUCCAGACUCCUACGGGAGGCAGCAGUAGGGAAUCUUCCGCAAUGGGCGAAAGCCUGACGGAGCAACGCCGCGUGAGUGAUGAAGGUCUUCGGAUCGUAAAACUCUGUUAUUAGGGAAGAACAUAUGUGUAAGUAACUGUGCACAUCUUGACGGUACCUAAUCAGAAAGCCACGGCUAACUACGUG